GACGAACCGAGCGAACGUUGUUCGGAAUCACUGGGCUUAAAGGGCGCGUAGGCGGGCUGCCAAGUUUGGGGUGAAAUCCCCCGGCUCAACCGGGGAAGUGCCUUGAAUACUGGCGGUCUGGAGGGAGGUAGGGGCGUGCGGAACUGUAGGUGGAGCGGUGAAAUGCGUUGAUAUCUACAGGAACUCCGGUGGCGAAGGCGGCACGCUGGACCUUUUCUGACGCUGAGGCGCGAAGGCCAGGGGAGCGAACGGG
RNAcentral lists this ribosomal RNA (253 nucleotides) under uncultured bacterium. RNAcentral describes it as "partial 16S ribosomal RNA". It matches the Rfam family "Bacterial small subunit ribosomal RNA", at positions 524 to 776 of the family's 1533-position model. The record is from RNAcentral.